UAGGGAAUCUUCCACAAUGGGCGAAAGCCUGAUGGAGCAACGCCGCGUGUGUGAUGAAGGGCUUCGGCUCGUAAAACACUGUUGUAAGAGAAGAAUGACAUUGAGAGUAACUGUUCAAUGUGUGACGGUAUCUUACCAGAAAGGAACGGCUAAAUACGUGCCA
RNAcentral lists this ribosomal RNA (163 nucleotides) under uncultured bacterium. RNAcentral's name for it is "partial 16S rRNA". It matches the Rfam family "Bacterial small subunit ribosomal RNA", at positions 355 to 510 of the family's 1533-position model. The record is from RNAcentral.